RNAcentral lists this long non-coding RNA (848 nucleotides) under Mus musculus (house mouse). Its description in RNAcentral is "long non-coding RNA chr15:92670791-92671639". The record is from RNAcentral. Lineage: Eukaryota; Metazoa; Chordata; Mammalia; Rodentia; Muridae.
UGACUGUAAAAAGUCCCAUAGGUUAACUAUCAUGACCAAACAAAAUAAUAACACUCUGGCCUUUCAUAUUUUCAAGUGAAAUUGGGUCAUAGCUGUUCAUAAUCUUUGGGAAUUUUACUGUAUUCUGGGUUUUGUUGUUGUUUUGUUUGUUUGUUUGGGUUUUUGUUUGUUCGUUUUCUUUUUGAUACAGAGCUUCUCUAUGUUGCCUUGGCUGUCCUGGAACUUGUUAUGUAGACCAGGGCGGCAUCAAAUUUACAAAGAUCCACCUGUCUCUGCCUUCCAAGUGCUGGCGUCAAAUACUGUACUACCAUGUCCAGCUUAUUAAGCAUUCUUAUAUGUGUUCUAUCUUGGAAGAGGUAGAUGCUUAGACACCUUUAUUGUUCUUAAGAGGCAUGGAGGAGUUGAAACUCUUAUCAACUCUAGAUAGCAAUUCUAGAACUGUCCCCUCACCAGAGUAACGUCCCUGUACUCCAAAGUAGGGGCCUGUUUUCCUGAUCUUCGGGAGAAUUGUGUAUAUAGUUGGAUGUAGAGGAACAAUCAGAAAGGGGCAGCUUGUAUCCAAGUGGAGGUAACUAGAUCUGAGAAGUGUCCUGAAUGACCAAUUUCUGCAGUGUAUCCCUAAGGGUAGCUGAUCUCAUUAAACAACAGCUUUGUCAAACAUUAUCCUAAUGUGGUUUACAUAUGAAAAGCUUCCUUCUUUACUUAAAUUCACAGGUUGUUAUAGAUUAAUUAGCCCAUCUGCCACAACAAACGAAUUCACACAUCGUUUGCACUGACUGCCGAAAAGUGAAUUCUUUUUUUAUCCACUUAAGAUUGCUCCGCCAAUAUAAUGAAAAAACAAUUACUGU